GCACCUCAUAAAACGGGUGCCGGGAUUGGCCUCCCGCUGACAAUCGAGGCGAUACAUGACGCGCCAGCGUCUUUUUU
This 77-nucleotide small RNA is filed under the name Escherichia coli. Its description in RNAcentral is "isrK Hfq binding RNA". It matches the Rfam family "isrK Hfq binding RNA". RNAcentral also lists the same sequence under 1 other name. Lineage: Bacteria; Pseudomonadati; Pseudomonadota; Gammaproteobacteria; Enterobacterales; Enterobacteriaceae. The record is from RNAcentral.